This 200-nucleotide unclassified non-coding RNA is filed under the name Neofabraea sp. Its description in RNAcentral is "partial internal transcribed spacer 2". The record is from RNAcentral. Lineage: Eukaryota; Fungi; Ascomycota; Leotiomycetes; Helotiales; Dermateaceae.
UUAAGUUCAGCGGGUAUCCCUACCUGAUCCGAGGUCAACCUGUAAAAAUUGGGGGUUACGUGCAAGCAUCCACCGGGCAUCCAGAGCGAGAGAUUUACUACGCUUAGAGCCAGACGGCACCGCCACUGAUUUUAGGGCACCCCGUUGCCGGGGACGCCCAAUACCAAGCAGAGCUUGAGGGUUGUAAUGACGCUCGAACA